This is a long non-coding RNA of Seriola dumerili (greater amberjack), 435 nucleotides long. RefSeq lists it as uncharacterized. The transcript has 3 exons. NCBI's taxonomy places the organism in Eukaryota, Metazoa, Chordata, Actinopteri, Carangiformes, Carangidae. The record is from RefSeq and is a predicted model, not a curated record.
CCCUACCCCGUUUUUUUUAGUUUUUUUUAUUUGUUGCUGGUGUCUGGAGCCAAACUCCACUUCAGCUGAGGAGCGGCUCCUGUCAUUGAUUUACUUACAUUCAGCUUCACAGCGCUGGAGGGAGAAGAGGCGGGAGAGGUGCCCCGAUGGGUUGCAUGGUCACGUCUGCCUACUCUGCUGCAGUGAUCAGGUAUUCAACCCAGAGACACACCCGACCCUCUGAUGCCACCUGAUACCACAACCAUGGGAUGUGAUGUAAACAUCCUGUAGGCAACUGGAGGAGGAUAAACAGCCUAAACCUGUUGAUAUGCACAAGUCUCCAGGCCGCUCAGAUCAGACAUGUGGGAUACAGGUCAGGCUCCGGGCUUUGAACCCGGCCCGUGUUUGGUGCUUAUCUGGGGCUUGAAACCUUGGAUGUGAGGAAUCAUACUGAAC